Molecule: ribosomal RNA, 468 nt
Filed under: uncultured bacterium
Lineage: Bacteria
Description: partial 16S ribosomal RNA
Rfam family: Bacterial small subunit ribosomal RNA
Source: RNAcentral
GACGAACGCUGGCGGCGUGCUUAACACAUGCAAGUCGAACGGAAAGGCCCUGCUUUUGUGGGGUGCUCGAGUGGCGAAAGGGUGAGUAACACGUGAGUAACCUGCCCUUUACUUUGGGAUAACUUCAGGAAACUGGGGCUAAUACCGGAUAGGAGCUCCUGCUUCAUGGUGGGGGUUGGAAAGUUUCGGCGGUUGGGGAUGGACUCGCGGCUUUUCAGCUUGUUGGUGGGGUAGUGGCUUACCAAGGCUUUGACGGGUAGCCGGCUUGAGAGGGUGACCGGCCACAAUGGGACUGAGAUUAGGGCCAGGCUCCUACGGGGGGCAGGAGUGGGGAAUAUUGCACAAUGGGCCGAAGCCUGAUGCAGCAACGCCGCGUGCGGGAUGACGGCCUUCGGGUUGUAAACCGCUUUCGCCUGUGACGAAGCGUGAGUGACGGUAAUGGGUAAAGAAGCACCGGCUAACUACGUG